AAGGGUGCUAUGCUGCAGUCGAGCGACGCAUGCCCAGUUCGUAAGAACAGGGUAUGACGGAGCGGCGAACGGGUGAGUAACACGUGAGCAACCUGCCCCACAGACCGGGAUAGCCCAAGGAAACUUGGAUUAAUACCGGAUUCCCUCGAACAAUCGCAUGGUUGAUCGAGGAAAGGCCUUUGUGCUGUGGGAUGGGCUCGCGGCUUAUCAGCUAGUUGGUGGGGUAAAGGCCUACCAAGGCAUCGACGAGUAGCUGGUCUGAGAGGACGAUCAGCCACACUGGAACUGAGACACGGUCCAGACUCCUACGGGAGGCAGCAGCAGGGAAUCUUGCGCAAUGGGCGAAAGCCUGACGCAGCAACGCCGCGUGGGGGAUGAAGGCCUUCGGGUUGUAAACCCCUUUCAGGAGGGAAGAAAUUGACGGUACCUCCAGAAGAAGGACCGGCCAACUACGUGCCAGCAGCCGCGGUAAUACGUAGGGUCCUAGCGUUAUCCGGAAUCAUUGGGCGUAAAGAGCUCGUAGGCGGUUCAGCAAGUCGGCUGUGAAAGUCCGAGGCUUAACCUCGGAAUUGCAGUCGAUACUGCUGUGACUCGAGUCCGGUAGAGGAGAAUGGAAUUCUCGGUGUAGCGGUGAAAUGCGCAGAUAUCGAGAGGAACACCAGUAGCGAAGGCGGUUCUCUGGGCCGGCACUGACGCUGAGGAGCGAAAGCGUGGGGAGCAAACAGGAUUAGAUACCCUGGUAGUCCACGCCGUAAACGUUGGAUACUAGGUGUGGCGGUUGUACCAACGACUGCCGUGCCGAAGCUAACGCAUU
Molecule: ribosomal RNA, 814 nt
Filed under: uncultured bacterium
Lineage: Bacteria
Description: bacterial SSU rRNA
Rfam family: Bacterial small subunit ribosomal RNA
Source: RNAcentral